UAGGGUUUGAUCCUGGCUCAGAAUGAACGCUGGCGGUAGGCUUAACACAUGCAAGUCGAACGGAAACGAUAAAGAGCUUGCUCUUUAGGCGUCGAGUGGCGGACGGGUGGGUAACGCGUGGGAAUCUACCCUAUAGUUGGGGACAACAUAUGGAAACGUAUGCUAAUACCGAAUAUGCUCUACGGAGUAAAGGAGCCCUCUUCUUGAAAGGUUUCGCUAUAGGAUGAGCCCGCGUUAGAUUAGCUAGUUGGUAAGGUAAAGGCUUACCAAGGCGACGAUCUAUAGCUGGUUUGAGAGGAUGAUCAGCCACACUGGGACUGAGACACGGCCCAGACUCCUACGGGAGGCAGCAGUGGGGAAUAUUGCACAAUGGACGAAAGUCUGAUGCAGCCAUACCGCGUGUGUGAAGAAGGCCCGAGGGUUGUAAAGCACUUUCAAUUGGGAGGAAGAUUAAGUAGUUAAUACCUACUUAGUUUGACGUUACCUUUAGAAGAAGCACCGGCUAACUCUGUGCCAGCAGCCGCGGU
Molecule: ribosomal RNA, 527 nt
Filed under: uncultured bacterium
Lineage: Bacteria
Description: bacterial SSU rRNA
Rfam family: Bacterial small subunit ribosomal RNA
Source: RNAcentral